UUUGGAUUGAUUUCCGGCGAGAAAUCCGAUGGAGAGUUGAGCUCGAAGCGGCGAAGUCGAUAGAAAAAAUGUGGAAAAGCGAAAAAACUGAACCGAUUAAUUUCAUGGGGUUUUGAAUAAUAAUAUUCGGAAUAUGAUGUUUUAAUUAGUAGUUUUCAAUCUGAAUUUCUGUUUUCUUCGCUGCUCGCUCGUUCCUCAUCUUGUUUCUCUCGCGGCAUUCAGAUAUCCAGACGCUUCCCGCCGACCCUUAUGAUGAUGUUGCUCUGAAGGGUCAAUGAAUUUCAAUUUCUCCUGUUUUUCUUUCUAUUUGUUGAAAUUCUUCGCUUUCCAUGAUAUCUGUGUUUCUUAAAAUUUAAUUAGGGUUUAUGAUUUUUUGUUCUUUAUUUAUUAUGCCCUUUUUCUUAAGCAUGGUUGUGGUGUGAUUUUUCUAUUUCAUUUUAUUCUUUCAUACUUCUUUGUCUGUUGUAUUCUAUCUUGGUGCUCUAGUAUUCCCUUUCCCCGAUUUGAAAUUUUAGGUUUUGAAAUUAGUUCUGUUUUCUGUGAUUUUGUGCUGAUAUAAUGUGAUAUUGCGCAGUUUUAUCUUCGAAGUUCUUUACCUUGUUUGCAUUGCUUAGCAUAAGUACUUCCCUAGCUCAACUCUUAAACUGCUUAUGAUUUGGUGGUGGUGCUUAGAAUUUGUGAGGGAUGGAUCAAGGAUUUUAGCUUCGCAGAACAAAAUUUCCUAUCCAUUUCUUUCGACAAGUGCUUUCUGCCACGCAAACCUCUAUGGAAGUUGCAUUACUGAACAGACAAAGUUGUACAAGGAUCGAGCUUGUAGCUAGGUGGAGCUCUGCCGUUCCAAUACGGCUUAGCUGUUAUUUUCUCUUUGAUAUAUAUAUAUAUAUAUAUAUAAAAUAUGAUCGUGUUUUUAUUGUAACCUUGUUUUUUCAGUGUUAAUUUCCUGUCAAACAUGUCCAUGUCUGUGUUUAGUUAUCUUAUUUUCGUUGGAAGUAGAAAUUGUAUGAGUAAAUUGAGGAAGCAUAUAUAAUACAGGUUUGUUUUGUGCAGUUCAUUUUUUUUUAUCCUCUUCAUAGUAAGACUGUAAUUCAUAUCUGUGCUGUUGGUCUUCAUUAAGUAUGCUCUGCAGCCGCCUCACAAAAUAUGUUUCCUAUAUUUCAAUAUUGAGCGUAUGUCCUGUGUCUAAACAUGGUCUUUCCUCAAUAAAAGAUGAGUAUAAAAUAUAAAUUAUUCAAAAGAAAAAAACUAUAUACCAAUUGAAAAACAAUAAUCUAGUAUUCCCUCGGUUCGUCAAAAAUAUACUAGGUUGGCCUAAGUGGAAUACUGAUGGUGAAAGGCACUACUUAUUCCAAGACGAACUUCCCUCAACUGCAUAAGAUUUACUUGUUUUGUUUAUGCAUCUCUGGCUUUUCCUGUUCAUUCCCUCGAGAUUCAGCUCGUUUUAUUUAGGAAUUCAGCGAGCUUGUUUUGUUCCUCAUUUCUAAGAGUGAAGAUAACUUUCUUGUUAGAAAUGGCUUUGCUUGUUCUGCAUAUUGGUAAUUGACGAGAUUAUGAAUGUCUUGAGAAUUUCAUCAUGUUACUCGCUAUGUAAGUAUUUGCUGAAUAAGUUAGGCUGCAGAGGUUCAUUUCUCGUUCUAGAACGAGAGAAUGAAGGCACAUUCUUGAUGGCAUGCGUACAACAGGUCACGCCACCAGUUCUUGGAUCAUCAAAACCGAUGAGAGGCCCUGCAAAUGCUAAUUAUAUGGUUUGUAUUUUCAUUUCCAAACUGCAGAUGAUGUUCUUUUCUUGUGUGGAACGGGGCGAAUGUAGAUGACGUCGAAGAGAAGCAGAUUCUUGACUCUCUCAAGCUGUGCAUUUAGGAGUUGUAAGUAAAAUACAUUAUGAAUUCAAGCUAACUCUGGAGCUUGAGCUUGACAAUAGUCGGCUCAAAAGUAUAACCGAAAUUAGUUUGUUCAAGUUUAGAGUUAGCUGCUGACGUAGUACACUAGUGUUGUGUUUGAGCUCACGAGACUAUUGUGGUAUUGUAAAUUUAGUUUUAUAUUGCGAUAGAUAGAUUGUAAACUAUUUUGAAUUAUUUCGAGUCCAGGUUCAUUGCUGAUGAUUUUAGUUGAUUUCAGAGCUUGGAUUACUCGGCUCGAUUCAAUUACAACUGAGUUAUGAGUAUAGACAUGUUUUUCUUCCUUUAAUCUCGAGCUUAACAUGUUUCUAUUUGAGAUCAAUAAGAUUAGCCUACGUCUUUGGGCUAUACACUAAUCCAGUGGGAAUUAUUCCAUUAGGCAAGGUUGGGCUGAUAGUUUUUCUUUUUCUUUUGGGGGGGAGGGGUGUUGGGCUGAUGUUAAUAUUAGUUUCGUUGGGCUCAACUGCAUAAAAUAAAAGAUACUCUAUAUCCAAUUUCACAAGGAAAGUUGAUUUUCUUUAUUCCUUUUUUCACGAGUGUGCUGUAGACUGUAGUGAUUCACCGGUUUUACUUUUGUUGAUUCUUGUGAGGUAAUAAUCUGCAAAUUAUUAUAUAGGAUAGUAAUGAUACACCUACCAACUCAUUUACUAUUAUCAG
RNAcentral lists this long non-coding RNA (2552 nucleotides) under Salvia miltiorrhiza (redroot sage). RNAcentral's name for it is "long non-coding RNA (SMIL_LNC006766)". The record is from RNAcentral. Lineage: Eukaryota; Viridiplantae; Streptophyta; Magnoliopsida; Lamiales; Lamiaceae.